Molecule: ribosomal RNA, 468 nt
Filed under: uncultured bacterium
Lineage: Bacteria
Description: partial 16S ribosomal RNA
Rfam family: Bacterial small subunit ribosomal RNA
Source: RNAcentral
GACGAACGCUGGCGGCGUGCUUAACACAUGCAAGUCGAACGGAAAGGCCCUGCUUUUGUGGGGUGCUCGAGUGGCGAACGGGUGAGUAACACGUGAGUAACCUGCCCUUGACUGUGGGAUAACUUAAUGAAACUGGGGCUAAUACCGGCUAGGAGCUCCUGCUGCAUGGUGGGGGUUGGAAAGUUUCGGCGGUUGGGGAUGGACUCGCGGCUUAUCAGCUUGUUGGUGGGGUAGUGGCUUACCAAGGCUUUGACGGGUAGCCGGCCUGAGAGGGUGACCGGCCACAUUGGGACUGAGAUACGGCCCAGACUCCUACGGUAGGCAGCAGUGGAGAAUAGUGCACAAUGGGCGGAAGCCUGAUGUAGCAACGCCGCGUGCGGGAUGACGUCCUUCGGGUUGUAAACCGCUUUCGCCUGUGACGAAGCGUGAGUGACGGUAAUGGGUAAAGAAGCACCGGCUAACUACGUG